AUUUACGGCCAUACCACCCUGAGCACGCUCGAUCUGGUCUGAUCUCGGAAGCUAAGCAGGGUCGGGCCUGGUUAGUACUUGGAUGGGAGACUGCCUGUGAAUACCAGGUGCUGUAAGCU
Betta splendens (Siamese fighting fish) is the source of this 119-nucleotide ribosomal RNA. The record is from Ensembl. NCBI's taxonomy places the organism in Eukaryota, Metazoa, Chordata, Actinopteri, Anabantiformes, Osphronemidae.